This is a long non-coding RNA of Eubalaena glacialis (North Atlantic right whale), 374 nucleotides long. RefSeq lists it as uncharacterized. The transcript has 3 exons. NCBI's taxonomy places the organism in Eukaryota, Metazoa, Chordata, Mammalia, Artiodactyla, Balaenidae. The record is from RefSeq and is a predicted model, not a curated record.
GAGCGAGAAGAGGGUCAGGGUAAGGGACAGAGGGAGGAGAAGGACCGAGAAUUGUUUGUGUUUCUCCCUCGAAGAAAGGAAACAUCCUGGGAGCCAGAUAACCACGCAGAUCCUCAGAGAUGGCAAGUCCAGACCAUGGAUUCCUGUGUCCCAAAAUGCAAAGAUAGACUUGGGGGAGGUGUCACCUGAUGUGGCUGAAGAUCGUCCUGGGCUGGUACAGACCCCUCCGUCCUCUGUCCUGUGCUGACGAAUCUCACCCACAACCCAGGCAUAGAAAUAGAAGGGCAGUCAGAGAUCACAGGUGACACAGAACUAGAGUGGAAUGCUAAUACAUUCAAGGGAAAAAUCAGAAUCACAAAAGGUCUCUGAAAGUC